Molecule: long non-coding RNA, 421 nt
Filed under: Bos taurus (domestic cattle)
Lineage: Eukaryota; Metazoa; Chordata; Mammalia; Artiodactyla; Bovidae
Description: long non-coding RNA NONBTAT025618
Source: RNAcentral
GUGAACCUUUUCCUGCGAGGAAGGAGACCUGGUUGCUGUUCAACUGUCCCUAAAACUAAGUGAUAUUUGCAACUUAGCUUCCCUGAUCCUUAGGAUUAAUCCAUGAAAAAAUGGGCUGGUACUGAAGAGACUCCACAGUUCUAAUCCUAAAUGAUUGAGAUUUAAAUGUGUAAGAUUCACUAGUUCAUCAAAACUUUCAUAUUUUCAACGCAGGUUAUAUUAGAUAGUGAAGAAAAAUGAAAACCUCAAAAACUGAAUUUAAACAAGCUGUAGUUUAAGUUUGCUUCAGCUACUUACAAAGUAUAUCAUUUUGGACAUGUUAUUUAAUGUCAAAUGAACUUUUUCUUUAAAAAUGUAAACAAUGUUAUGAAAUUCAUACUGUACCUAAGGACAACAAAUAAAAUGAUGUGUGAAGACAGAA